This 1060-nucleotide ribosomal RNA is filed under the name Acinetobacter baumannii. Its description in RNAcentral is "bacterial LSU rRNA". It matches the Rfam family "Bacterial large subunit ribosomal RNA", at positions 1871 to 2925 of the family's 2925-position model. The record is from RNAcentral. Lineage: Bacteria; Pseudomonadati; Pseudomonadota; Gammaproteobacteria; Moraxellales; Moraxellaceae.
GGAAGGUUAAUUGAUGGGGUUAGCGCAAGCGAAGCUCUUGAUCGAAGCCCCGGUAAACGGCGGCCGUAACUAUAACGGUCCUAAGGUAGCGAAAUUCCUUGUCGGGUAAGUUCCGACCUGCACGAAUGGCGUAACGAUGGCGGCGCUGUCUCCACCCGAGACUCAGUGAAAUUGAAAUCGCUGUGAAGAUGCAGUGUAUCCGCGGCUAGACGGAAAGACCCCGUGAACCUUUACUGUAGCUUUGCACUGGACUUUGAGCCUGCUUGUGUAGGAUAGGUGGGAGGCUUUGAAGCGUGGACGCCAGUUCGCGUGGAGCCAUCCUUGAAAUACCACCCUGGCAUGCUUGAGGUUCUAACUCUGGUCCGUAAUCCGGAUCGAGGACAGUGUAUGGUGGGCAGUUUGACUGGGGCGGUCUCCUCCUAAAGAGUAACGGAGGAGUACGAAGGUGCGCUCAGACCGGUCGGAAAUCGGUCGCAGAGUAUAAAGGCAAAAGCGCGCUUGACUGCGAGACAGACACGUCGAGCAGGUACGAAAGUAGGUCUUAGUGAUCCGGUGGUUCUGUAUGGAAGGGCCAUCGCUCAACGGAUAAAAGGUACUCCGGGGAUAACAGGCUGAUACCGCCCAAGAGUUCAUAUCGACGGCGGUGUUUGGCACCUCGAUGUCGGCUCAUCACAUCCUGGGGCUGAAGCCGGUCCCAAGGGUAUGGCUGUUCGCCAUUUAAAGUGGUACGCGAGCUGGGUUUAGAACGUCGUGAGACAGUUCGGUCCCUAUCUGCCGUGGACGUUUGAGAUUUGAGAGGGGCUGCUCCUAGUACGAGAGGACCGGAGUGGACGAACCUCUGGUGUUCCGGUUGUCACGCCAGUGGCAUUGCCGGGUAGCUAUGUUCGGAAAAGAUAACCGCUGAAAGCAUCUAAGCGGGAAACUUGCCUCAAGAUGAGAUCUCACUGGGAACUUGAUUCCCCUGAAGGGCCGUCGAAGACUACGACGUUGAUAGGCUGGGUGUGUAAGCGUUGUGAGGCGUUGAGCUAACCAGUACUAAUUGCCCGUGAGGCUUGACCAU